CUGCCCUAUCUAGAGUUCAUCUAUUCCUCCCAUGUUCCCCCUCCCUACACCACUAUGAGUCAGCCUCCUUAGAGAAAACAUUCCGCAUUUAUUUGCCAGAGGGAGGGGGGGAUUGGUGCAGCCACCUCUUUGUAAACACAGACUUUUGAUAAUGCAGGUGUGUUGGUUCCACCUUGUGACAGAAUCUUGAACUGCAACGUGAAAAUGGCCGAGCAGGAAAGUGGGAGGGAGGGAAUCUGACCAAGCACAUCCUAUAGAACUUUCUGGAAGCCUGUGUAUAAAAGGGGACAUUGCCAAUGUGUAGGUAGGUAUACUGAGGACCUCCACACAGAAAAUGAAGUCUAUCAUUAUUGGGAAGAGAAAGCUCUAUGUGAGAGGACCAAAAAAAAAAAAUGUUGUUUUUAUACUUUGAAACUUCUGGAUAAUUAGCUGGAGACAUACAAACAAAAAAGGAUUCACACUAAUUAUGAUUUUUGGAAAGCAAAUUUCCCCUUAAUUAAUAUAGGCAUCAUUCCAGGAAGAUAUAUUUCAGAUUGCAUUUUUAAUUUUCAACAAAAUUUUAGGCUUUCCCCCCACUGACUGGGUUUUUCAUUGUGUGGAUACCCCAGAAUUGUUAGGAUCAAAGUAAUGAAAAUUUAGUUUCUUUUACAGUUUUCCAAUGACAAAUGAUAAUGUACCAAACACCCUGUUAUCACAAUAUAUGUACUUACAUACACCACAUAAUACAUGUAUACCUAUGCAAAUGUUUGUAAGCAUUUCUGUUGACAUAAUGACUUGUAACUGUUCUUAUUCAUUUAUAUAUCUAACAGUGAAGCAUAAAAGUACCUAUGUCUCCACACAUGAGAGACAAUGAAAAUCAUUGCUAAUGUAAUAGUGAAAGGAUCUUGUGUCAUUGUUGUCAUUAUGACUUGUUUUUGCUACCUUAUGGAAUUCAUUCCUAUGCAUGUAAAAUAAUAUUCACAAUGCUGAAUUAUUUAGAGUGUUUUUAUAGUUCCUACUGUCAACCCUGUGUGCAUUGCAUUUUCAGAAUAUAAUCUGCUUAAGGGCACAGUUUAAGGCACAGUUCACACCAUCGUUUGAAAGGUGAGAUAAAUGGGUUCUAUGUGAGCCUAGCAAACUGUCUUGGAAGAUUCUCAUAUGAUAACAGUUUGGGUUUUAUAGGAGUAUGUGUAAGGUGUGUGUGUGUGUGUGUGUGUGUGUGUGUGAAAAAGUGUGUGUAUGCAUCAGCAAGUGACACUGUGUGUUUGUGCAUGCACGCAUAUGGUGACAACCACAUUUCUGUAUUCUUUUUCCUUCUUCAUAGAUUUGCAUCCUGUUUGGCCUCCCUUCCUACAUUCAGGUCCAAAAGUGAAGGAAGAGAAUUCUCAGCAUGGCAUCCUUAUAACCUAAGCCUUAUUGACAUCCUUCAUUCCAUCCUGAAGAUGACUUGUGAGAGAGAAAGUGUUGGUACAACGUGUGUGCCACUUUGGAGCCCUCUAAUAAGUGAUACCAUCCUAACAUUCAUAAAGGUAGUGCUGCUUGAACUGCCCAAGGCCACGGAGGAGUAAAGAGAGUAACAGUACUGAUAGUCUGUCACAGAGGACAGGACUUGGACCCUGUAGAGGACCCACUAUCAAACCUGUGCUGCAGGUGGAGGUGAUGAGGUGUAAAUUAGCUUUUAUGCAAAUGAGCAACCCAAGGGAGCAUGGGUGGUGGGAAGGAGGGGGGACAGUCAUUGUUUGGAGUUACACAGGACAUAGAGUCGUCAGGGUAGAAUACAGCACAGUAUUAUAAAGUACAUGUGCAUUAAACAACUUGCUAAGAGCCAAGUUUGAGUGUUAUUGUGAUACAAUGGAAGCUCAGAUCAAUAUAGUAUUUUUCACAACAUUCUUGCAAUAUAAUUUGAAAUUCAAUUACCCAUUUACCCAUUUUAAGGAUACAGCUUGAUGGUUUUCAAUAUAUUUAUAAAGUUGAGCAACCAAGUAUUAGCUAUUUCCAUCACCCUAUAAUAUAGCAUUGUGCUUAGUUAAAAACUGGUCCUCACCACAGCCCCAGGAAAUGCAUGUUUGUGUCUCUGGAUUUGCCUGUUCCAUACAUUUCAUAUGAAUGGAAUCACACAAUAUUUGGUAUUUUGCAUCUGGAUUUUUCACCUGUUAUCAUGGUUGAUCCCUAGUACAUCAGGUUAUUUCUACUUUUGGGCUGUUGUUCAAGAUGAUGAUGCUACAUAUAUUCCUGUUCCAGUUUAUAUGUAGACAUGGGUUUUCAUUUAUCUUACUUGUGUACCUGGGAGUGUAAUUGAUGACACAUAUGAUAACUCCCUGUUUAAUGGUGAGAAGAAAUGCCAAGCCAUUUUCAUGACCUUGGAAGGCUUGAGGAUCACCUGCUGAGCCUGUUAUUUUCUCCAAUUAGACUGUAAUCAUGGGUUUUGAAGCAUUUUGAAGAUUUGAAGCAUCUUCUCAUCGCAUUCUUUCUGGGAGUAUAGGAUAUCCAUGUGACAUCACUGGUGACACUAAACUUCAUCACUUGGUUAAGCUCUUCCUCUGGUGACUGAACUCAUAUCAAGUGCCUGAAGAAGUUUCUCUGAAUGUGGGUCAUGAUAGCUGCUGAAGUUUCUACUCCAGAUCCAAAGGUCCACAGUGCUCAGGAGACCCCUGAUACUUCCAUCCCUGAUUCCAUGUGCUUUCUGCUCUCUUGUAAGAAUGAAUUAGCUAGACUGAUGCUGGGAGUCAUCCAGCAUGCAUCCUGGAUGCCACAGCCAUCUACUGACCAUAAGACCUUAAACUUGCCCCAGAGGAGUGUCAUCUCAGAUGAUCCUUAAACUUACACAUUCUGAGGCCACCACAUAGUGUCGUCAGAUAUGGCAAGCAAAAAUACAGGAUGCUCAGUUCUACACCUGGGGAAAUAUAUAGGGUAAAACCAAGUACUCCAGUCAACAGACCAGGCUGAACUCCCAGGAAAUGCUAGUACCACUCAUCAUUAAUGGAGCUCUUCCUCUGGUAACUGAGCUCAUAUUAAUUGUCUGAAGAAGACAGUUUCUGAAGAUGUGUGCCAUGAUGGCUGCUGAAGCUUCUACUCCAGAUCUGAAGAGCAAGCAGUGCUCAGGAGGCCCCCCAACACUUCCAUCUCUGCUCGAGUACCUUCUUGGAGCUCCAGAAAAAAGUAACACUGGAUCUUCAGAGAGGGACACCAAAACAAGAGUGAGAAGCUCUUCCUAGACUGUGCCUUAGCUGCCCCAGAUUAAACAUUGGUGAAGGAUGUGGAUGCUAUACAUAACCAGGAGCUCAUGGAGAGGAAGCUAGUGUGGUGUGGGCUGUUAGAGGAGCUAUUGGAAAAGAGUGGACAGGACACAGGGACACUAUAGUGAUGCUGCAUGACCAUACUUAUGCACAGGCCCUAGACUUUCUGCAGACCAGACCUAAGAGUACAGCAACUGACAGGGGUCUCACUUGCUUCUUCCUUAAAUGUUGACCUGUCCUAGUGAAAUUGACAUCUCAGAUGACCUUUAAACUUACACAUUCUGAGGCCAUCACAUGGAAUUAUCAGAUGUAGCAAAUAAAAAUACAGGAAGCUAAGGCCUGCACAUGGGUAACAUAUAGGGUGGAACCAAGGUGCUCCUGUCAACAGCCCCAACUGACCUCCCAAGAAAUGACAUCAGCACUCAUGAUCCAUGGAAGUGAGCUCUCUUGGGUAUUCCAGAUGAGUGGAGCUCCAGAUAACAGAGAUGACAACACCAUUUAGCCUUAAAUGACAGAUACCACAUAGAGAAAAAGUACCCAGUUAUCCUUGUCAAUACACAGACUCCAGAAUGAUAAUAAAUGGGUAUUGCUUGAGAGUUUUAAGCAAAAAUGGAAAUCACAUUCUUGUGGCCUAACAUGCAGUCUUUCUUUUUUGUGUGUGGUUUGCUAUCAUUGCACAAUAUAGGAAUUCUCUUAUCCCUGAAACUUGGCUAUAACUUUGGCUAUAAUCUGUAGGGCAGUUUGUGUGUAGGUGUCAAGUUCUGAACAUUUCCUGAAUUCCUCUGUGAAGGAAUUUCCAAAAGAAUUUUCUCUAUAUGAUUUUCACACCUCUACUGAAGUUUGGAACCUAAUUCCAACCCAUCUCCAUAAGAUGAGCAUCCACUGCCAUCACUCAUAUUCAGGAAUUGAGAAUAUUUUAGUACAAACUGUACCCUGAGCCAUAUGAAAAACUAUCUUUAGCAGGUUGUGUAAUGAGUGUGUAACAAUGACAAGGGACAUUUAUUCACCUUAAAAAGUGUUGUCCUGAAACACUGUCUCCUGCUACAGGGGUUGCCCUUGGCAAGAAAGUCACUUUCAUUAGGGGUCACACAGGCAAGACUCCUUCAGUAGACAGCUGAUAGGUAAGUAUUGCAGGCCUUGGCCUUUGUGACUGUCCCUAAAUAGCCCUACAGGUUGGAUAAGUCUGCCCCAUUCUGGGGAUCAUUAGUAGGAAGAUGACUGGCAAGCCAGUCUAAGUCACAUUCUUCAAUAUCAGCUUUAUAGGAAUAACGUUGUUAUGAUGUUUUAUAUUUUGGUCCCAUAUCUCAGAUUUGGAGCAUCAGUGUCUUUUGGGUGCUCCUUAAAGACAUAAGCAUUGUGAAGUAAAAACAGGAAUAUUUGGAGCAAUAAAACAGAAAAAGUGGUCUGGGGAUAUAACUCAGUGGUGGAGUAUUUAUCUAGCAUGUGAAGGCCCUGGGUUUCAUCCCCAACACUGAAAAAGAAAAAGGAAGAAAGAAAGACAAAACAAAUCAAGAGCUGUGGGCCCAUUUUAAGAUCCACCCAGAGGUUAGAGAACAAGUGCUCCUAAAGGGCAGGUGACUACCAAGAGUCUUGAGGGGAGAGACCCUGGAUGUACAACCCCUAUUUAUCUUCCCAAACCAAGUCAUUCAUGUGAUGGAGAAGGAGUGAAUAUACAGAGAGGGAGAUGUGUUUUUGUCAGGAAUGUCUUUCCACAUUGAAGAAAAUAUCAGGGAUAGAGAUUAAGAAUUCCUCAGGAUUAACCAAUAUUGAAAAGAGUAUUGUUUCUCAACUGAAGAGAUUGUUAUUCUACUCCUGCCUCCUUGAAAUAAAUCAGAUUUCCAAAUGAUAAA
Molecule: non-coding RNA, 5065 nt
Organism: Ictidomys tridecemlineatus (thirteen-lined ground squirrel)
Lineage: Eukaryota; Metazoa; Chordata; Mammalia; Rodentia; Sciuridae
Source: RefSeq, a predicted model, not a curated record